This 885-nucleotide long non-coding RNA is filed under the name Homo sapiens (human). RNAcentral's name for it is "HSALNT0206731". Lineage: Eukaryota; Metazoa; Chordata; Mammalia; Primates; Hominidae. The record is from RNAcentral.
UAGCUCAUCAUGCUGACCAUUUAUCUCCCAGGUUUUGGAAAAAGCAUUGAUGUUGACUGCUAGUUGACAAAGGGGAAGAAAUAGGUUCUUCAGGUGGCAGCAAUCAAGAAAACAAAGGCUUCCCAAAGUCACACAUGCAACCGGGCACUAUCAGGGCUGUCAGAGUUUCCAAGGACAGGGAGAGGGAGGCAGAUCCCAUGAAAUGAGGCUGGACAGGAAGUCCUCCCAACGAGGUUAUCAGGCAAAUCAAGAAGAGUGGGAAGUGCCCGAAGACAGGAGGCUGCCUGCCAGCGACUCCACGGGCUCAGGCUGUUUGUAGUUCAUGUGCAUAAUUUUUAAAGAUAGACAUAAGACAUACCCCUGAAGAUGAGUACAAGAGAGAAAGACAGGGCUCUGAAAAUACUGCCAUAGGCUCAAGUUCCAAAGUGCUGGAGUUACAAAAGUAUAAAGGACAACGCAAAGGACUUUUUAGCCAAAGAAGAACCAGAAAGGAAGAGUCCUAGGGAAUUGGAGACGUCGCGAAGGAAUGUUGUUCUGAGCACUGAUUUCAUCAAGCCGAUGGAGGCAACAACAUAUUCCUUAGGGAAAAUUAAGAUGCACAGUAUGCUUCAAGAUGAUGGCCAAGAACAACCAACUCAACGAGCCUUCAGGAAUUCAUGAUUUGAAUAUCAUGUUCAAGCUACAGACAUCAGCAAACUCGAGAAAAGAAGGUUUGCUCUGGGAGAUUCUACAUGUGACCUGUUUAUAUGUAAUUAUAUUAUCUAUUACUCAAGUAUUUGUCUUGUGCUGUCUAAAUUAUAAGCUUCUCAACUGUUUGCCUUGAGUGAGAUGUGCACGCUAAAGCCUCUCAAUAAAUAUUAAUUGAAUGAAUAAUUGAAAAAAACC